GGGGGUGACUGGCUUCGACAGGGAAUACGACGCGCAUAUGUGCGUGGCAGAGUUGGAACACCUCUUAAAACUGCUCCAAACAAAUAAGUGCGAACAAAGUAGCACGUGCAAUUCUUUCACCUAUCCAGAUGAAGGACUUGCAGCCCGCUUACGCAAUAGCCUAAGCGGCCGCCUUCCGACCUCAGCGCUUGAAUAGGGUCGGAUAGGCGUCACCAUCUUCAAGCACUGGCACGUACCGUCCGAUGCGUGCCUAAGAUAAGGACUAGGGCUUGCCGCGAUUCUGUACAUCUCUUACGCGGCUCGUCCGAAACAAACAAGAUGUGCUACGCCAUGUAGAAUCCUAUGCGUGUAAUUCUUUGGACGGGAGUUCGAUUCUCCCCACCUCCACCA
This 390-nucleotide transfer-messenger RNA is filed under the name Candidatus Kaiserbacteria bacterium CG10_big_fil_rev_8_21_14_0_10_59_10. It matches the Rfam family "transfer-messenger RNA". From Rfam's summary of the family: Bacterial tmRNA, also known as 10Sa RNA or SsrA, is named for its dual tRNA and mRNA-like properties. Its role is to liberate the mRNA from a stalled ribosome. To accomplish this part of the tmRNA is used as a reading frame that ends in a translation stop signal. The record is from RNAcentral. Lineage: Bacteria; Candidatus Kaiseribacteriota. RNAcentral also lists the same sequence under 1 other name.